Long non-coding RNA from Gymnodraco acuticeps, 1047 nucleotides. RefSeq lists it as uncharacterized. NCBI's taxonomy places the organism in Eukaryota, Metazoa, Chordata, Actinopteri, Perciformes, Bathydraconidae. The transcript has 3 exons. The record is from RefSeq and is a predicted model, not a curated record.
CCACUGCCGUCAGCGUUUAUGUGUUCGUCAGGGACCCAGAGCAGCCCUUCCUCCAGAGAGGCAGCGACAUGGAGAUCAUUUUCAUCAACCACUUCUCCACCCACGUCAUAGUGCCAUGCCUGGUCACGGUGCCCGAUCUGAACGUCACUCUCCAUGCGUAUCCCACGCCUCUGGAAACUGACAAGAUGACAUGGGACAACAAGCGAGGUUGGUCCAUUCCCAGAAACGUCAUGGCCAGUGUGCCAAUGCUCAUCGGAGUUUUGUGUUGGGCAACACUAGGAGGCAAAGACUAUCAAUCUCCUAGCUACAUUUUCCACACAACAGGUACAAAAAACAUAAUGUCUCCAAAGGUUAAAAUUGAUCAUCUCAUCUUGUGUUUCAGCAAAAACAUUAACGACCACACACACCUUAGCUUAGGCAGCUACAAAAGCAAACCUGACCCAGUACAAAUAUUUUAAUGAGAUUUGAAGCUGUACUUUUGUUGAAACAGAAAUUAGAAAGGAAAUCAAAGGUGGUGCCAGGCUGACUGCACUGUCAACAUUAUUUUUACAUGGCAGCCAAUUAAGCCUUAAUGCUGACAAUUUGAUGGAUUUAAUUUCAUAAUAUUGUUUCCUCCAAAAUAAAUACAAAUCCCUUUUUAAUGCAAGGACGUGUGCCAUUAUGUCAGCAGAAUUAAAAGAGAUGAAGAGGAAGAGAAUGGGAGGCUUAAUUAAAUUGUAGGGAACUAAGAUGAAGAGAUUUCAUGACGAGGAUCACUCUCAUCGCGAAUGAACUCUGAGGGACCCAGAGGCUCUUUUUUAUGUCGUGUGAGAUCAUUCACCUCUCACUGCAGAGGGUGAAAGGAAACUCAUACCCACCGCUGCUGGGCCAAAAGUAACAUCAGCAUCAGUCAGAGGAGAAACUGAGAGCGAGUCUUCGCUUCGAACGCUAAUGGAGCAUUUAAACAAUCAGGCAAUCACAGUCUGCUGCAGAGACAUCACCAGCAUACUUGUUUUUUUACACCCCAUGUUAUUUCUAGAGACUGCAGAGAGAGGUGGCUUGAAUAUC